AUAACAAGAUUUUGUCAACCAAGCAAUUCCUACCAAAGGAAUAAAAGAAAAAAAAAUUGGGGCAAAAUGCAAAUUUUCAAUUUAAUGAAUACUCACAUGAUACGUUGGGGAUUCCAGAGGAUGGAAUAGGUGUGGAAAUCCGCAGUUGGGUCAAACCAGAGAUGGAACUGUUGCUCUCUGUUUCCCUUUCCUUGACUGAACACAUUGGUAUGAAGAAUGUAAGGAUCCCCACUAAGGUUCCCCAGAAACUCAAAAUCAAUCUCAUCCCAUGUUGAUCCUUUGGAAGAUAGCUGCAGAUAAAUAUAUACAACAGCAUUUGUGCCAUUAACAUCUACACGUCCUCGUAAAAAUUGCGGACAACAAGAAUUAAUUAGAGAAUAACUUACAUAGUAGGCAGUGACUGUGCCAGCAGAGUUGCCAGGGACAAGCUUGAGCUGCGUAUCAAUCUUGCCAAAAAGAUAUUCAUCCUUGGACUGGAAACCGGAGCCAGAAGCUUUGUCAAGGGAGAGAGAGAGAACCUCUCCGUUGUUGUCUAUCUUACCACGGCCAUCUCCCCAUGUGAUGUCAAAAUCUUGAUAGAAGUUGCUAGCUGAUGCUGUCAUGAGACAGCCAAUUACGAGAGACAUAAGCAACGAAAACUUGAAACUUGAAGUUGAGCCCAUUUUCUUCUUUUUUUUCUGGUUUGCCUGGGAAGAGAGAAUGUGUUGGAAUAUGAGGCGUUAAUAGCUUUGAUGUUUUGGUGUCUUUGAGAAGAAGGGUAGAGCUUGGUAUUUAUAGUAAAGAAAAAGGUAGAGGAAAGGGCCAAGGAAGGUGCGUUCAGCUGGGUUGUAGACAGUUGUAGAGUAGGAAACAUAGUAUUAUGUAGCUGUCAAAAUCGCACUAACAAACACGAGCCAACCAUAGCAAAGUUUAUGAUAUCACGCGGCUUUACCCAUUAUUUAUUUUGUGCGUGAGGAACGGGCAGCCCUGUCGGCUCGAGUUCCUGUCGCCAGGUUGGGCCUUUAGCACUAUUGGAUCCAGUUCAGUAGCAGUACCAUGCACACGCAGCAGCACCGCCUUUACUGACCAAACAAUCCAAAAAGUUAAAGGACUAAAUAUGUGAGAACCAUUUUUACCGAGGAGAUGCAGUUUUGUUCUGAAUUUAAUUUUCAGAUAAACCAUAUAUUUUGGUUGAAGGGGAUAGAUAUUUUAAGAUUGUUGUUACCUUUAAAUUUAACAACGUAGCAUUUAUCAAUUUACUAUUAAAAUUCAGUUAUCCGUUUUUCAAUAAUAAAGUUUUAGGUAAUCAAACAGUGUCUAAGCUGGAAACUUUUCUGACUCUAUUGCCAAUGCCAAUUUAAUCUUAUCUACACAAAUAAAUCAUUUUAUAUUAGAAAGAUUGGAGGAGAGAAAAUGAAAAAUAUGUAAGUCCUGCAUUGCAUAUUUAUAAGAUUAAUUGUUUAUAUAUAAUUUUUUAGAUUUUGUUUUUUAUCUUCAAUUAAAAGGAUAUGAUAGUAAAAUAAUAUAAUUUUCAAUUUUUUUUCAUUUUUCAUCUCUAUAAAAUAGUGAAUGAAAAAUUUUAUUUUUUUCAUGUUUUCUACCAAUCAUACUAAUGCAAGCAGAAAAACAAAUAUUUUUUUCCAUCUUUCUACAUUUUCUUCUUUCAAUUUUUCCAUCUUCCUAUUUUUCUUUUCACUCUACUAAGCAAAACUUUAAUGUUUAGCUAUGUUAUAAUUUAGAGUAGGAUAGUGAGGGUAGGGCUCUUGUUUUUUUUUUUUCUUUUCUUUUAACCCCAUCAGAUAGGAGUAGAUUCAAGAAUUUAUUUACGUGGUGUUGUAAUUAAAUUUAUUUUAACUUGAAAUCUUUGAUCCCAUCUUUUACAAUUAUAAAAAAAUUAAUAAAUCUUUAACACCACUCUUUAUAAAAUUUUACUACAUAAAAUUUUAACAUAAUUAACAAAUUUUUUACCACUCCAGUGACACCAUUUGAAUCAAAGUAGGUUUGCCUCUGCCAUCAGAGCAGGUAUGGGGAACUUCAAUGCAAGGUUCCAUGUCAUUUCUUUUAGGGUCGUCCUUGGCUAGUGAAGUGCGGAAUUUUCAAAUCAGUCGGUGUAACUUCCUUGAAUAUCACCUGCCAACUCUCAAGCUUACGCAAAAUUUUACUCAAAAUUUUAUGUUUAGGUGAUCUCCUUCUUCACCUAAUAGCAUGCCAAGUUGCGCAACUUGAAUAAAUACAAUAGGUGAUCUCCUUUAUGCAACUCGGCAUGCUAUUGUAUUUAUUCAUUUUUAACUGGAAUUAAUUAAUGUGCACCUGACAUGCACAUGAAAAAUAUCUUUCUUUGGUAAAUGUUGCUGCCAGUAAACACAUAUCAAGCUGUAAAGGAAUAGCAUUAGUGAUGUCUUAUUAGGAAGAUGCACGCUGCUUCGUUGCUGGUCGCGGAAUAAUUUUAAAUAGAGAUUAGUAAAAAUAAUCAAAUAUAUAUAUAUAACAUCUUAAGAAAAGAGACUAGUUAGUACAAAAUUUAGUGUUAAAGAGUUAAUAUUAAGAACUUAGUUUAAAGUUCAAAAAAGAAAAUUAUGUAUUACUAAUAAAAAGAUAACAGAAUAGUAAAAAGAUGAGUGCAAAUCUAAUAUUAAAGAGCUAAGUUUUAAGUUAAAAAAAAUGAAAUAUUCAGCAUCAAAGGAAGGUGUUGAUCAUCUCGGAAAGCUGUAGAUUAAAAUGAAAAUCUAACCCAUUAAAUUUCAAUGGUCAAUCUCAUUACUUUUAUCGUCAAAUCAUGUAUCAAAUAUUAGGUACACUCCUAUAGUUUAAAUUUUACUUAGGUUAAUUCAAGGUUAAGUAUAAUUAAUUAUACAAAAAGUUUAACCAUUAGUAUUUGAGCAGUCAUAAUUUUGAUUUAGGAUACAAUUAAAUAUUAUUUUAUGUGAUUUGUCAUGAAGUUAUUAUAUAUGAGUUGAGAUCUUUGGAGAGCCAGAAAACUAUUUUUCGAUUACUGAUUUGUUUAGUAAGCAUAAAGCUUUUAUUCCUUCUUGUGAGAAUAUUAAUUGGUAUACACCAUAUUAUGUGCCUUGACUUGUAGAGAGAGAAAUCAAGGGCUAAACUUUCCAGUUCAAAUUUCGAACUCAAUUCAUGAACCGAUUAUGACUUUCAUAUUUUAUGAGUAUUAAUUAAAAUUGAUCGUUCUACAAUAUUUGUUAUAUUGUAUAAAAGAUAAAACAACGUUUUAAUUGCGUUACAUAUGGAGUUUAUAUUACCAAAUAUUAAGAAAAUCAAAAUAGGUCAAGAAUAGGUUAAAACUCAAAAUGACUCAAUGAUUGAUCUCAAUUGCUCUUGUUUUAAUGGAUGUUAAUGUAUGGUCUUCAUAAAAUAUUGUUUUAAUCGAGUUUUUUUAAUAGGUUUAAUUGGAUUAAAAUUGAUCAAAAAUCGAGAAUUAAAGAAAAAACUUAAAUAGACCUAAAAGGGUUGAAGUUUGCUCUCAUCGGGUUGGACUCGACCCAACUGGAGGCUGAAGAAGGGUUGGUCACACAAACCACCCGAACCCACAUGAACACUUGGCGGAUAAGGGCAUGUGCGGCCCACUAGGCCUAAUUUUUGGUUAAGUUUUUGGCAGUUCAACCCCACUCAUCGUGUGCUGCCUAUUGAUGCUAUUAUUUUAAUUUUUAAUGCACAUUUGGUAUUUAUUACUUAUUAUGUACAUUUAAUUAAUUAUUUUAAAUAUUUUAGUGUGGUAUUUCCGGAAUGGUGUAGCAAAAAAUAAUGUGUAUUUUCAAGUUUAAUGAUAGCAUGUGCUUUAUAUGGUAUAAAAAAAAAUUUUAGAGUCUACUACAUCAUCGUUGCCACGCUAACAUGUUAAUAUCACAUCAUCACUACCACGUCAAUAUUUCAGACCCACGUCACCUCACAUCAGCAAUUUUUUGUAUUUUAUAUACUGUCGAGAUAAAGUUACGAUGUACAUAUUUUUACUGACAUCAUGAUGACAUGUCAAAAUUUGCUGAUGUGAGGUGACGUGGGUCUGAAAUAUUGGCAUGGUAGUGAUGAUGUGAUAUUAACAUGUUAGCGUGGCAACGAUGAUGUAGUAGACUUUAAAAAAAAAUUUUAUAACAUGUCAUAGGAAUUAAAUUCAACAAAAUUAUAAAAUAGAUGAACUAAAUUAAAUAAAAUUUAAGAAUAUAAGAACUAAAUUGAAUAAAAUUCAUAAUUACCCGUUAAUGCUCAAUUUUAUAAUAAUUUGUCCAACUUGAAAAUUAAUGUUGAUAACUAUUCAAUUUAUUUAUCUAUUUAUAUGUAAAAAAAAUUAUUAAUAAAACCAUACUACUUUUGUUCAUUUUAUUUUAAAUUAUUAUUUUUGAUAAAUGCUAUUGAUUAUAUUUUCAAUAAAAAUUAUAAAUUAAUAGUGAUAUAUAUAUAUAUAUUGAGAAGUAGAUAAGAUAGAUUAAAUUCCAAAAUGAAUGGAGAAUAAGAUUAUCCUUUACAACCUGACAAAAAGAAUCCACAACAAUAUCAAAUACGGCUUGUGAGAAGCCACUUGGGUAAAUCAGCAUUUACCUUUGAUCUAGCCAAAUAGAAUUGUAAAAACACCUUACAAUAAGCUUGCAUACCUAACCUAUGCAUGUUAAAAAAGUUUGCACAUAAUCUUACCCCAAAGGGAAAAUUCAAAAGAAGGGAUCAACCAGUAAACCACCAAAACAAAGUAAUAGAUUAAGAACAUCAGAGGCUCUCAUGGUAAUAGUAAAUAGCAUUAAGAUCCGCAAGUAAGAAAAAACACAGUAAGAGAUAGCAAGGUACAUAACACCUCAACCCGACUAAACCAUCUUCGAUUGCAUUGUCAUGAAGUCAUUAAUCUAAAGUAGAUCUAUUGGCUUAAGGACUCCUUCUUUGGCCAUUGAGUCAGCGUUUUCAUUAAUAGAGCAUGGGAUAUAUCCUCAUUUUCCAUGGAACCUCUUUGGGAUUAGUAAUCCAUAUGACAACAUUAAAAUUAUCACAUUUAAUAAGAAAAGUGUGAGAAGAGCACCAUUUGGAGGCCGCGAAUAAAAGAGCAACUUCUUUCACCGCUAGUAACUCAACCUUAUUAGAAUCAAAUAUGCAUAUAGAUUUGGAAAAUAAGGCGACCACAUCCCUAUGCUCCCAAGAUAUUGCUUACACCAGAUUCCCCAAGGCAGCCUCUAGCAGCUCUAUUACUAUUAAAUUCGAGACACCCCUUUUGUUGUUUGGCUUAAACCUCCAUUUUCUUAGUUUUCUUGCACUUCAUGGGGGUGAUUCUUUCAUUUGGGAAUUUAACAAGAUCACAAAUUAACGCAUUAUGACCAAGACAUUUAGCAUUCAUCCACCAUGCCACUCUAAGUUUAAUAAGUUCGAAGAUUUGCUCAUCGUCCCAAAUUUUACCUUUGAAAACAAUAUUGUUCCUUGCUGCCCAAACAAUGGCAUACCUAGCCAUUUUCCAAAUCGAGUUGUUGUUGAGGUAGUUAGUAACCUCAAACCAUAAGAGAAAAUAGACCAAGGGGUCAUUAUGGACCUCUCAAUGAACAUUCCACAAGGUCCCCCAUGUCAUAAGUGAAAAACAGGUGACUUAUUGUUCCAGUCUCGUGUUGAAUAUCAAGCAAGCAACCGCCUCUCCAUUAAUAAUGUCAUGACCCGGUACUCCCCUAGAGCCCGUGACAACCAUCGCGAUGUCUCGAUCGACACUCAUUACCCAAAAUGUCAACCAGAACCCCGCAAGGCUUUAAUAUCAGCUUCUCAUUUCCCCUAUGAGUAACCGUUGCUGAAUAUCGUGUUCUAAAAUAUUUUAAGCUAUUUCCAACUUAAAACAAAUAAAAUAAUAAUUUCUGUCUCACAGGGGUAUUUUGGUCAUUUUUUUCAAAAAUCUCAAAAUCAGUUAAAAAUGUAGUAUAUAAGUGGAAAACACAUAUUUCAUAAUCAAAAAUAAUUUUGGAUGUCUAAAACAUUCAUUUAAAAUGAAAUUAUGACUAUUAGAAUAAAAUAAAAAUAUAAAAUAAAAUAUUCAAUUUUCUAAUAAAAUAAUAUUUUUAGAACACUGUGUAAAUAAUUUUUACAGCGUAAAAGCAAAAUAAAUUCAUACAUGUUGUAAUACAGAUAACCAAAGUAUAAAAUUUAAUUUACAGUAACACGUGGGCCCACGAAUGACUAAAAGUAUCAAAAGAAAUGAACCUACAGUUUUGGGAUGUGGCAAGUCCAACUGUAGUCCUCGUCGAUAUCAGUUAUCUACAAUCUAUUCUGAGCUUGAAAUGGGUCGAAAGGAGGGUGGUGAGAUUUUCAAAUCCCAGUGAGUAAGCAAAUAUCAUUUAAAAUAUCUAAAGGCGAGUAAAAAGAGACUAUUAAAAUAUUUCAUCAAACUGUAAUUUAUCACCUUUCAACUUAUUUCAACCAAAUAAAAUCAAUUUAUUUAAAUCAAGUAAUCAGUAUGGCUUAUGAAUUUCCUAAAAGCUUGGCUCAUGCCAAAAAUUAUUAUCAUACUUAGUUAUUUGGGAUACCUUGGCAAAGGGCUAUCCCAAUUGAGUCUGCCAAAGCUAUUAGAAAGUCAUGUUUUAUUUUGAAAAUAUAGCCGUUCCUUGGCGUUGACCGAGUUCCCCCUCACGUGGUGGUUUGGCGUUAAGUAAACUCUAAAAGUUAUACCUCGAGAGUUACCCUACUCGCCUCUCCAACCGAGGUAAAAUAUAACGGGGUUUACCGUGCCCCUCUAAUAGGCUAGUCCACGGAAACCCGCCUACUGCAGUAAGCUAAUAAUUAUCCCACCAAUCAAUAAAAUUCAAUAACAUGAUAUGACAAUUAUUGUAAUUCACAGCCUUUCUAAGCUAAAUACACAUUUCAUAUAUUUCAACAAAAAUAUCAAUUCAACCAUUCAUACAAAUAUUGUCAUAAGCCAUUCGAUUCAAAUCAUAAAUUUUACAACAUAACAGGUGGUCUCCAAUUACUCUAUUUUUCAAAAUCAUUAUUCAAUUUCAAGACAAUUUAUAAAAUCUUUUCAUGUAAACACAUUUUGUUUGUAAAACACAAAGAUUUACCAUUUAGACUCAUUUUCAUAAAAUUUCACCAAAACCGAUUAAAAACAUACUUUAGAUAAUUAAAAUGAUAGUAAGGUUACUCACAGUACUAGGAGUUCGAUAUACUCCUAUUCUCGGUAUUUGGGCACAAUCUCUUUACCCUUGUUAGAGGGCUCACCACCUAUACAUCAUACGUGACACGGAUUUUAAUAAAUUGUGUCAAUUUAUCAUAAACUAUUUCAAGCUCUAUAAAUCUAUAUGAAUGCACGAAAUAUGAUGCAAAAUGUUCGAAUAGCUAUUUAAAUACGGUAUUCGACCUAAUUCGUACUAUGUUCGGUGUAAUUGGCUAAAACCUCCAAUUUAACUCCAAAUCAAUUUCUUUCACUUUCUACACUCCAAUUAUACCUAAAUUACCUCAGUGACUACGAAUGAGAUUCAAUUUAUCAAUCCCGGGUCAAUAAUCACACAUGUCUAUACAUUAGUUAAAAAUUUAAAUUUUUACACCAAAAUUUCCCAUUUAAUUUCUAGCCUCACCAAACAUCAAAUAUCACCAAAAUAUCAUGAAAUAUCAUCGAUUUCAACCACAAUAUCCUCCAUAGGAAAUUCGACCAUUGAUGGUGAAAUGCCCCAUACUUUGAUAUGAUGAUAAAUAAAGUUAGUCGGAUGCAAAUUGAGGCAUAAUAAGGAACUUUGAGAACCAAAGAGAUAAGAUAAAAUUUUUAGAAUAAAAUAAUAUUAAAAUAUUACUAUUUAGUCGGAUGUCGAAAUCAGUCAUGAAGAAUGAUCAUAUGGUUGAUCCAAGUGGGGGAGAAGAUAUCAAGCUUGACUCUGUGAAAUAUUUGUCAUGACAUACAUGUGAUGGAUAGUAUGUUUGCAUGCUAGGAGAGUCCUGAAAAAUUUACAAAAGUCGAUAUUGUACCUAGAGGUACAACAAAGUUGAUUUAAGCCUCUAACUAGAUCAAACAGAGAAUUUAAGAUGAAAUUAAGAAUUUUAAAGUCCUAGAAUGAUUUAAUAUGGUGAUUUGGAGUUCGAGGAUCAAUUUGGAGUCAAAUUGGAAAUUUUACUAUCUAUGGGUAAAAUGGUAAUUUUGCCACUCAAUGACAAAAUGGGAAUUUUUUUUAAAGAUUUUGAUCAUAUUUGACUUAUUGGAGUAUGAUUUGAGGUUGAGAAGUGAAAAAUGGUGAUCUCGGUAUUUUUCAGAGUAUAGGGGUAAAAUGGUAAUUUUAUCGUUCCAGGGGAAAAAUUGUAAUUUUUCACCACCAAAACACUUGUCCAGCACAUGAAUUCUACCUAAUUUUAUCAUGGAUAAUUAAAGGAAUUUAUAUGGUGGAGAGAGAAAGCUUAAUAGUUAAGAAAUAAAAAUGGACCAAUGAAAUGGUGACACAUGGCAUAUUUAUAACCAUUAAAUAUUUAGCUUUAAAAUUUACACAAAAUCAGCCCAUUUCUCAUUCAUAUGGCCUGUUAAAGAAGAACAAAGGAGGAAAGGAAAAAAAACAAGAACCCUAGGUGGGAAAAUUGAAGAAAAAGUGUAGGAUUUCAAGGAAUUAAGCUAAUAAAGGUAAAAUUUCUUGAUUUUGACUUGUGAUUUACACUACCCAUGCUUUCUUUUUCAUUUUUCAUGGUUAGAUUUCAUGUUUUCAUGGUGAAUUCAUGGCUGGCCGAAUGGGUAUGGAGAGAGAAUGAUGUUGGAUUGAUUUGAUUUCAAGUUAUGUUAGUGUUUUUAGUUAGUCAGUGAUGUGUAACAAGAAAAGCCAACAAGAAAAAUUCAUUUUCUCCCAUUACCCAUAAGAGGCUGAAUUUUCUAGGGAGAAUAUUGAGGCUGAAAUUGAUGAUAUUUCAUGAUAUUUUGGUGAUAUUUGAUGUUUGGUGAGGUUAGAAAUUAAAUGGGAAAUUUUGGUGUGAAAAUCUGAAUUUUUGCUUAAUGUAUAGACAUGUGUGAUUAUUGACCCGAGAUUGAUAAAUUGAAUCUCAUUCACAGUCACUGAGGUAAUUUAGGUAUAAUUGGAGUGUAGAAAGUGAGACGAAUUGAUUUGGAGUUAAAUUGGAGAUUUUAGCCGAUUAGGCCAAGUAUAGUGUGACUUAGGUCGAAUAUCACAUUUAAGUGAUUAAUCAGACAUUUUGCAUCCCAUCGCAUGCAUUGAUUUAGAUUUAGAGAGCCUGCAAUAGUUUAUGAUAAAUUGACACAAUUUAUUGAAAUUCGUGUCACGUAUGAUGUAUUGGUGGUGAGCCCUCUAACAAGGGUAAAGAGAUUGUGCCCGAAGACCGAAAAUAGGAGUAUAUCGAACUUCUAGUACUGUGAGUAACCUUAUCAUCAUUUUAAUUAUCUAAAGUAUGUUUUAAUUCGGAUUUGGUGAAAUUUUAUAAAAAUGAGUUAAAUGGUAAAUUUUAGGUUUUAUAAACAAAAAUGAAUUUAAAUGAAAAAAUUUUAUAAAUUGUCUUGAAAUUGAAUAAUGAUUUUGAAAAUAGAGUAAUUGGAGACCACUGGUAUAUUGUAAAUUUAUGAUUGAAAAUUGAUGGCUUAUGUUAUAUUGUUAUUGUGUUGGCAUGACUGGCUGGGCUGUAUUUUAUGAAUUGUAUGGAUUGUCUUAUUUUACCCUUACAAGCUGGGUAGUAAAAUAUUUGCCCUAUCAUGCUGUCAAAAUUUUAUUGUAUGGUGGGUUUAGCUUACUGCAGUAGGCGGAUUCUGUGGACCAGCCUAUUAGAGGGGCACGAAAUCUGGAUAUUUAUAUAUUUUACCUCGGUUGGAGAGGCGAGUAGGGUAACUCCCGAGGUAUGACUUUAGAGUUCACUUCACGCUAAACCACCACGUGAGGGAGAACUCAGUCAACGCUAAGGAACGGCUAUAUUUUCAAAAUGAAAACAUGUGUUAUGCGUACAUGACUUUCUAAUAGCCUUGGCGGACUUAGUUGGGAUAGCCCUCAACCAAGGUAUCCUAGAUAACUGAGUAUGAUAAUAAUUUUUGGCAUGAGCCAAGCUUUUUAAGAAAUUCAUAAGCCAUACUGAUUACUUGACUUAAAUAAAUUGAUUUCAUUUGGUUGAAAUAAGUUAAAAAAUGAUAAAUUACAGUUUGAUGAAAUGUUUUAAUAGUCUCAUUUUACUUGCCUUUAGAUAUUUUAAAUGAUAUUUGUUUACUCACUGAGAUUUUAUAAUCUCACCACCCUCCUUUCCACCCAUUUCAGGUAUUAGGAUAGUCGGUAAAUAGCUCAUUUCAUCGAAGACUAUAAUUGGAUUGGCAUCCUCAAAAUAUGUAAGUUCAAUUCUUUUGACACUUUUAGUUGUUCGGGGGCCCACGUGUUACUGCAAAUUUAAUUUUAUACUUUGGUUAUCUAUAUUACAAUAUAUAUGAAUUUAUUUUGCUUUUUCGCUGUAAAAAUUAUUUACACAGUGUUCUAAAAAUAUUAUUUUAUGAAAAAAUUGAAUAUUUUAUUCUAAUCUUUAUUAUAUUCAAAUAGUUAUAAUUUCAUUUUAAAUGAAAGUUUUAGACGUUUAAAUUUAUUUUUUGAUUAUGAAUUAUAUGUUUUAUACUUGCAUACUAUAUUUUUAACUGAUUUCGAAACUUUUGAGGAAAAAUAACCAAAAUGCCGCUGUGAGACAGAAAUCAUUUUUUUAUUGAUUUCAGUUGGAAAUAGCUUAAAUUCUUUUAGAACAUGAUAUUUGGUAACGAUUGCUAACCGGGGAAAAAAGAAACUGAUAUUAAAGCCUUGCGGGGUUCCGAUUGACAAUCUGGGUAAUGAGUGUCGAUCGGGACAACGUGACUGUUGUCACAGGCUCGAUGGGAGUUUCGGGUCGUGACAGAUGGUUGAUGGGGAAAAUGAAUUCUUUUCUUGUUGUUUUGUUUCUAAAUAUGCUAAACUAACUAAAAACACUAACAUAACUUAAAAUCAAAUCAAUCUAACAUCUUUCUCUCUCCAUACCCAUUUUGACCAGCCAUGAAUUUACCAUGAAAACAUAAAAUCUAACAAUGAAAAAUAAGGAGAAAUGCAUGAAAAAGGUAGAUCACAAGUCAAAAUCAAAAAAUUUUACCUUUGAUUGCUUGAUUCCUUGAAAUCCACCAAUUUUUCUUUGAAUUUUCCCACCUAAGGUUCUUGUUUUUCUUUUCUCCCUUUGUUCUUCCUUUACUCUUGGUUUGACCGGCCAUAUGAAGAGAAAAUGGGCUUAUUUGUGUUAAUUUAUAAGCCAAAUAUUUAAUGGUUUUAAAUAUGCCAUGUGUCACCAUUUCAUUGGUCCAUUUUUAUUUCUUAACUAUUAAGCUUUCUCUCUCCACCAUAUAAAUUCCUUCAAUUAUCCAUGAUAAUAUUGGGUAAAAUCCAUGUGCUGGACAAGUGUUCUAGUGGUGAAAAAUUACUGUUUUGCCCAUGGAGUGGCAAAAUUACCAUUUUACUCCUAUGCUCCGAAAAAUACCGAGAUUACAAAUUUUCACUUCUCAACCUCAAAUCAUACUCUAAUAAGUCAAAUAUGAUCAAAAUCUUUCAAACAAAUUCCCAUCUUGUCCUCGAGUGGCAAAAUUACCAUUUUGCUCCUAAAUAAUGAAAUUUUCGAUUUGACUCCAAAUUAAUCCUCGAACCCCGAAUCACCAUUCUAAGUCAUUUUAGGACUUUAAAAUUUUCAAUUUCACCCUAAAAUCUCUAUUUAAUCUAGUUCGAAGCUUAAAUCAACUUUGUUGUACCUUUAGGUAUAAUACCAAUUUUUGUAAAUUUUUCGGGACUCUCCUAGCAUGCAAACAUGUUAUCCAUCACAUGUAUGUCAUGACAAGUAUUUUAUAAGGUUGGACUUUACAAAUAAUGCCUUUACUCACCAAUGUGUCUUUGAUUGCUAGUCACUUUCAAAUAAGCUAUCAACAUAGGACUUCAAUUUUGAGAGGGGCUAAACCGAACCAAACAAGUUUCCAAUGAUCGAAUGGAUUGGAAUUGGAAAUGAGCACUUGAUGAUAGAUAGAAGCUGAAGAGUGAUUACCAUUAAUGUUGUAUUUCCAAACAAGCUUGUCUUGAAAGUCUCUGCAGAUUGCUUGCUCAUUAAUUACUAUGUUGAAGUUAGCCAAUUGGUCAUGUUCCCAUCCAAAGAUGUUCUUGCGAAGCUCGAUGUUCCACCUCCAAUCAUUGCCAACCUAGUCACCAAACUCAUCAAUAUUACAUUGCUUAUUGGCUGCUAAAGUGUAGAUUAUAGGAAAGUCUCUCUUGAGAAUGAAACCAUCAACGCAUUCAUCUUCCUAAAAGCUGAUGCAGCUUCCAUUACCCAAGGAUAGACCCAUACCAUUCACCAUAAAAGAGUUAAGAUCACAAACACCCAAGAAAGGUUUGGUGAUAUUUUUCCAUUUAUUGAAAGCCUUACUCAAGUUACCUAAGCACGGAAUAAGCCUAUUAUGAUCAAGACCAGAUUUUUCAAUAACAACUUGACUCCAUAAGCUUUCCCGCUCAUUGCCAUAUCGCCACAAUCAUUUAUUAAGAAGUGCUUUAUUUUAUAAUCCUAAAUCAACAAGACCUAGACCUCCAAGAUCACGAAAGUUGCAAACUACAGCCCAACUAACAUGGUAAAGUUUAUGGACAAGAUUUGGACCAUCCCAUAAGAACCUAAUAGUGAUAAAUUUUAUCUGAUACAUAUAUAAGAAUUCUAAUUCCAUUGAAUCACUCUCAUUAAAAAGUGAUAAUCUUGACUCAAUAUUAUUUAUUUAGUAUAUAUCUAAAUUAUAGUCACUUUAAAUAUUUAUAUUUUUAUUAUUAUUGAAAAAUAAAUAAAAGUAUGGAUACUUAAAAAAACAAGUUGACUAUAAUUUUUCAAUUAUAACAAUAAAUUAAUAGUAAUAAGAUUUAUUUGGUGUAAAGAUUUAUAAUAAUCUUAAUGAAAUUAUAGUAAUAAAUUAAUAGAGAUAAGGAUUUAUUUGCUCAUUCCUUCUAAACAAAGACCCAAAAACAAACACAAACAGAAAAGACACUACAAAAAAUAGCUUAUUUCCAACGAAAUUUUCUAUUGAAAAUAGAUUGAUUUUCGUUGAAAAUGCCUAUUUUCGACGAAUUUCCAACAGAAAAAUCAGUUGGAAACUCCGUUGGUAAUACUUUUCGUUGGAAAUCCGUUAAAAAUUUUCAACGAAAAAAUUUCGUUGAAAAAAUUGACUUUCUGAUGGCCAUCCCAUUGCAAUUCCGUUGGAAAACACUACAGCAAGAAAUUCUGUGGGAAAAGACAAUUCAGACGAAAAAUUCCGUUGAAAAUGGUUUUCCAACGAAAUUUCGUUGAAAAUUUCCAACGAAAUUUUCUGUCAGAAUAUUCUUUCCAACAAAAAUUUCCGUUUGAAACAAUUCCGUUGGAAAUUAUUUUCCAACUGAAUUUUAUGUUGGAAAUUUCUUUCCAACGAAAAAUUAUGUUGAAAAUUUUUCCGUUGGAAAUGUUUUUCCAACGAAAAAACUAAUUAAAUUUCCAACGAAAUUUUCUGUUGGAAAAACAUUUCCAACGGAAAAUUUCGUUGGAAAUUUAAUUGCAUAUCCUUUUACUAAUGCUUUUUCAACAAAAAUUACCAAUUUUCAUUUCAAUAAUAUAUUAUCAAUUCACAUCCGCAAUGGACUUUCAAAAUCUAUAAAAGAAACACACAUUAAAAAUCGAGAUUCAAAGUCGAAAUCAUAUAAUUAAAAAUUACCCUAAACACACAAUGUCUAAAAAAGUUAAAUACAUAUGAAAAUAAAGCUAAAUGUGUUAUUAAACAACUAUACUAAAAAGUAUCCAAGUGUAGCAGUGAAAAAUAGACAUCAUAUCAUGAAAUGUUGUGUUCUUACUUGUCCAGAUUUUAGCUUAAAGGUCUCACACCUCCUUGUUUUGAAUGCACAUUACUCAUUAUCAUGGUUUCUAUACGUGCCAUAAAUUCAGUCAUGCUUUCCGCCAUUGCAUUCUUAAUUUCUUCACGUAUUUCCCUAUGUAUUUCCUCACGUAUCUUAUCCAAGUUUUUUGAAAGAUUUUUCACUUUUUCUUCUAAUGCAAUUGCGAGACUAUUAACGUUGGAGUUGAUAAGGCCACAUGCAGACUCAGAUGUUGCUACAUUGUUGUGUGUUCCAGUAAGUAAAGCUGUAGCAGGCACCUGAGUACCAAACCCAUACACGUGAGUGCGUGUAGUCUCCAUCCCUCCAAUUGCUUCAGUCCAAGCAUACGGAUCGAAUUCUGGCUGAGAAGAUGAAUCAUCACCACACUUCUGCGAUAAUACAGAAUUAUACAUUUCUUGCAUAAAAAAAUAAAUAAGAUUAUUAUUCAACUAGAUAAUCAAUUUUAAAGUAAAAAUUAAUCAAUUUUGUACGUACACUUGUAAACUUGGACUUGUUAUCUAUAAAAUCAGUAUGACCACCUAAACGCUUAUGAGUAUGGUUGAACACUUUCAAAAAGCUAACAUCUCAUUUUAGCUCAAUUGCCUGCAUUAUUUACAACUAUAUAUACUCAAUCAUAAUCGAUAUAUAUAAAUAACAUGUAAGAAAAAACCAAAGUAAAACUAUUAAACAUACAAUUUAAAUUUAGUUUGAAAGAAAACCAUACAUAUAAAUACGAAGUAAGAUUAAUUCAUACCAUCCUUUUUGCAUGAACCACAAAUGAAACUGAACCGCCAGUGUGCUUUAAAAUGCUUCCUUCUUUUGACGUUAAAUGAUUUUGCCUUACUUUUUUAGAUUUGUUUUGCCAUUCUUCUGUACCCCAUACCGUAUCGAUAAGGGCAUCCCAUAUUUCAUUUGUAAUCCAUUCCCUUAACAUGUCAUUGCAAUCCCUAAUGUUGUUUGUUUUGGCUUUUGUCAUUGCUUUAUUCCUUUCUUUUGAAAGCAUGUCUCUUAACCGAUCGGAACAAAUUUUAUUCUACAUUCGUCGAACUAAAACAUCUUGAUUUGGAGACCAAACACAUGUUUCCUUUAACAAAAUAAUAGCGUAAUUAAAAACAUUUAUACAAAUUAAUUGAAAACAAAAACUUAUGAUUUAAUUGAAAAACAAACAUAGUACUUGAAAUUUUUGAAACAUUAACUCCUUUAUAUCAUUAGGGACUUUCCUCCAUGUCGACCAUGGACCAUUGAAAGUGAUUUUUGAUGAUACUUGUUUUUAUAACUGUGACCCCUCGCUAAAAAAAAGUACUUGUAGAAUAUAAAAAAAAAAUUAUAUAUUAAAAUUUAUAACAAAUAUAACAAUUUCAUUAACAAAUAUAACAAACAUAACAAGAUAACAUACCUCUCUCCAAUAGGAGUUAUAUGUAAUCUAUCGGAUGGAUCUACAGGAGUCUGUAAUCCUACACUAAGCCCCCUACUCCUUGACCUUGAGGAUGUGUCAUCUACACUUGCACCUAAAUCGGUAGAUGGGGAUCUAUGAGAAUUAUGAGUAGAUGUCUCAUUUUCUACUUGCUCUACAGAUGCACCCAACAAAGAAGGUGUCUGAAAUGGCACAUCAUUAUACUUCCGUUGCAUCUGUGGUUGAAUGGAUAUAUCAAUAAAUGCACUGGCAUUUAUAGGUAAAGAGAUACUUCCAGAGGCAUUUGUUGAUCUAGGUCUCAGUUUUGAAUGCUUCCUUUUAACCAUCGUUCCUGCAAUAUUUUUUUUGUUAAAAAUCAGACACAAAUUAUUUUCAAUAAAAUUGAAUCAACAUAUAAAAAUCAUCAAUUUCCAACAAUGAAAAGUAUGAUUUUUCAUUUGUACAAUCAAAGCUACAAUUAUAUAGUAUUAAUUUCAACAUUUAUAUCUAUAAACUUUCUGUUUAAUUUCAUAUCAUGUUAAGAUUUUUUAAUAGUAUAAAAUUAAAGUUAAACAGCUAUAUAACAAAAAAUAUAAAACCAAUAUCUUAUAUGCCUACCAUCAUCAAUCACUUCCAGAAUAAACAAACUCAUAUUUUUCAUUAUUAUCACUAUCCUCAUUAAAAGUUUCACAAUCGUCAUCUUCAAUUUGAUCUUGAUCUUGAUCUUCAUCUUCAUUUUCAUCUCCUUCCAUGUCGUCUUCUUUAUCUUCAUCUCUUUGCAUGUCAUCUUCUUCAUCCUCAAUCAAGAGAUUAAUCUUUUCAUAAUCACCACUUGCUAAAAUGUAAAGUUAUCAAGUUCAUCCAAUACAGUACCAGUAUUUGAAGUAGACACAUUUUCUUGGUAUCCUUUUUCAUUCAAGUCAAUUUCAUCUCUAUCUCCACCACUAGGAAUGUGAAAUCUAUUCCUAACUUUUGUUUUAAAUACUGCCCACCAAUCAUAUCGAUUUCUUUUAGUUGUUGGAUAACUACUAUAAUAAAUUUGGUGAGCUUGUGCAGCUAAAACAAAUAGUUCAUUAGUGGUAAGUAUUGAGUUGUAUUUAAUUUCAACAAGACCAUGCAAAAGAUCUACCUUAAUACCUUUUUCAGUGUCAAACCAAUGACACUUAAAUAGCAUAACUCUGUUUCUGAUACAAAAAUACUCCAGCUCGAUUAUAUCCACUAAAAUACCAUAAAAAUCAUGCUCAUGAUCAUUGUAAAAACUCCAUUUUAUGCAAACCUCACUAUUCAUUGUCUUACAAUUUUGACCGUAAUCUAGGGUGUGAAACUUGAAACCAUUUACAAAGUAUCCUUUGUAACACCUUAUCAUAUGUCCUGGACCAUAAGAGAUUUCGAGUAAACGUGGGUCAAUUUCAUCUUUACGUUUUGCAACCUACGAACAUGAAAUACAAGAUCAAAUAUUAAUAUUACAUAAUGAAUGCGUUAAUGUUAUUAAAAGUUCAAUUCUAAUUUACAUAAACUUACAUAAUUUUUAAACCAUUUCACGAAUCUUACAUCACGUACUUUCUCCAACUCAUCUUCUGAUAUAUGCACAACAUCUCCUUUGACAAUGUCAUCAAAUAUCAUAUCAUCAUAUCCACAAUUUAGUGAUUAAGUUCAUUCUUAUGAUCACUCAUUUGAGUUUGUGGUAGAAUGAUACUUACUUUAUAUAUGGGAGCACCUCUUCACAAUUCAUUAAAACAUAUAGCUCAGCAGCAUAAAACUCAUCCUCAUCUAAGAAUCGAGAUUUAUCUAAUGGACCAAAAGCUUGUCCAAGAUGAGUGAAAAUUGAAAGACGACCCAAAGAGUCCACGUCUCCCCCAUCAUCAUUAUGUGGCACUCUAUUUAAUCUUGUUCGCACAGCAGGUUCAAAAUACCAUGAGCAAAACGAGGAUAUUUUUUCGAUAAUAUAAGCCUCACAUAUAGAUCCUUUAACUGAUGCUCGAUUUUUACUUUCUUUUUCAAAUGUUGCAAAAACCUAAAAUCACAAUAUUCAUCAAACUUAUAAAGGACCUUAAACUCUUGUAAUAAAGUGUUUGAAAACAAAUAACAAUUAUAGUACCUCUCAAAUGGAUACAUCCAUCAAUACUGGACGGGUCCACCAACCUUCACCUUGUAAGGUAAAUGAAUUGGUAAAUGCUCUGUAUAGUCAAAGAAACCGAGAGGAAAGAUCUUUUCUAGUUUGCAUAUAGUUUCACAUAUCUUUCCUUGCAAAGUUUCCAUAUGAUCUACAGGUAUUUCAAUUGCGCACAAAUCCCUAAAAAAGUGAGAUAUCUCAGUAAUUACAUCCCAAAUUGAGUGAGGCACCAUAUCAUGAAGAUAAUUGACAACAAUUGUUGCAAAAAAAAUGACAAUCAUGACUUUUCAUCCCAUAAAAUUUGUAAUCAAUCUCAUUAACACACCAAGAAAUGUUCGACGCAAAACCAUCAGGUAAUCUCAAUUGUUUCACCCAAGCACAAACAUUUCUUAUUUCCUCCUUAUUUAAGGUGUAUGUAGCCUUAAGCUUGUAAAUUUUUUCAUUAAUUUCCACCAAUUCCAAUUCUAGCCGCUUGCAAUACACCUUCAAAUCUUGUGGUGCCUUUAAGUUGUCUGCUGUCUUUCCCUUAACAUCCAUCAUUGUGUUGAAUAUAUUCUCGAAAACAUGACGUUCAAUAUGCAUCACAUUGAGAUUGUGACAAAUAAGAAGCGUAUGCCAAUAAGGCAGAGCCCAAAAUAUACUCGUCUUCACCCAAUUAUGACUUACACCAUGACCCGAAAUCUUCUUAUCACCACAUUUUGUUCCGAAUGGGAGAUGACGAAGCGAAUUCAAUGGUGACAAUAUUUUCUCGCUUGAUAAUCGAGGAAAUGGUAAGUCAUGUUCAACUCUUUUUCAAAUAAAUUUAUCCCUCUGCCUCCUAAAAGGAUGAUCGGCUCGCAAGAAUUGCCAAUGACAAUCACAAAAACAAGGCUUCUUAUCAUGAUCAAAUAUGAAAGAUUUAGAAUGUUCCAUGCAAUAGAGACAUGAUAAUCGUCCAUGAGUACUCCACCCUGACAACAUACCGUAAGCAAGAAAAUCAUUAAUUGUCCAUAAUAAUGCUGCCCUCAUUUGAAAAUUUUGUUUUCUAUAUGCAUCAUUCGUGACAACACCCUGGGUCCACAAUACUUGCAACUCAUCUAUCCAUGGCCUCAAGAAAACAUCUAUGUUUUGACUUGGAUUUUUCUUGCCCGGAAUAACCAUAUUAAGAAAUAUAUAUUGUUGUUUCAUGCACAUCCAUGGGGGUAAGUUAUACACAGAGCAUUACUGGCCAAACAGAAUAAGGUUUCACAGUCGGUCUAAAAGGAUUGAAACCGUCAGCACAUAACCCUAGUCUGACAUUUCGAGGUUCCAUUGCAAAUAACUCAUGUGUGCAGUUGAAGUGUUGCCAAGCCUCACCAUCAACAAGGUGUUUAAGGACUCCAUCAUCCCUUUGGUUUUGCGCAUGCCACGUCAUAUGUUCAUCAGUUUUGCAAAACAUAUAAAGCCUUUGAAGCUUGGGUAUAAGUAGCAAGUAAUGCAAUAUCUUGUAAGGUAUUUUUUGCCUUUUCACACUUGAUUUUCUCAAUUUAUACCGAGGAUGCCCACAAAUCAUACAAUACUCAAAAUUAGCAGUUUUCUCAUAAAAUAACAUGCAAUUGUUUUUGCAAGCAUGAAUUUUGAUAUAUCUCAGUCUAAGUUUUGCUACCUUUUUCUUCAUUCUAUAAAAGUCAGUAGGUAAAUUUUCAUCUGAUGGCAACAUAUUCUUUAUUAUCUUCAACAGUUAAUCAAAACAUGAUUCACUCAAAUUGUACUCUGACUUAACAUUUAAAAGUUACGAUACAGCUGAAAGCGUUGUGUACUUUGUGCAACCUGACCACAAAGGUUCCUCUACAUUGCUUAACAAAGAGUAAAAGCUAAAUGCAUUUGGAUUUGGAUCUUCUUCCACAAACCUUGACUCAUUUUCAUAACCAUGGUUGAAAGCAACUUCUGGACCAAUAGCAUCCCUAACCAUUCUAGUAUAUGGAUUUUCUAUUUCCUCUUCACAUAUAGGUUCUCUAUAAUCCUCAUGUUCCUCAUUACUAGCAUAUGGUUCAAUUCUAUCUCUACUUCGUGAUGAUUGUCCAACAUCAUCUUUCCCAUGUAAGCUCCAAAUUGUGUAAGCACCAGUAAAAGCCUUUCUAAGGAUGUGCUUUGUUACCGUAUCGGAAUUUAGAAACUUGUUGUUAUUACAUCGAAAGCAGUGGUAUCUAAUUUUAUUAUCCCACAUAAAUGUAGACUUAGAAUGUGCAAAAUUAAUGAAUUCAUUAACUCCAUUUACAAAUUCAUCUUUAAUGAAUCUAUCAGAAGUUAAGCGACGAUACAUCCAAGAUCAAUCUCCCGUCAUUUUGUCAUCCUAAGUGUCAUAAAAUAUAACAGUCAAGAGUAAUUUCCACUGUUGUUUAUAAUAAAAUUUGUUAACAACUAUAUUUCAAUAUGCAAAACUAAGUUAAAUAAUUUAAAUAUAGUAAGAAAAAAGUAAUAACAUAUGAGGAUAGUAAAAAUGAUUCCAUACAAGAAAUAGUGAAAUUCUACUUCACCAGUCCCAAUACAAAAGCUAUGUUCGACUAGACCAAUGCACAAGUCAAGUUCAUGGGCCUGACCUAUCUUGAUCAACUUUGUAUACAACACCGGUAGUAUAAAUACGACCUCAAUUUAAAAAUUUUUAAGUUUUGAUUAAUUGUGUUUAGUUCAAACAUAUUUAGUAUUUUGUUAAGACUUAUUUAUUAAUUUAUAUAAAUAUUAAUACUUUUAUUAAUAUUAAAAUUUAUUUUAUUAUAUUUAAUAAUCAAUUUCAUUUUUGUAAUUUUUAAUUGUAAAUUUGAUCUAUAUAUUUGACGUGUACAUAUUUUCAUUAUUUAUUUUAAUCAUUUUAAUCGUAUCAAUUGUGUGUUAAUUGUUUAAACAUGUUAUAAAUUAUAUAAGUUUGAAUCAUGUUAAUCAUAUCGUAUUGUAUAAAAUUUAACUCGACACACAUAUAAUAAAUGUUUUAACCGUGUCGUAUUAUGUUACAUAUUUAUUAAACAUAUUUGUAUAUGUAUUUAAGAUCUUAAUACGAUUAAUUAAUCGUGUUGUUUUUAUAUUUACCCAUAUAACUAUUAAUACUCUAUGUUUACACAAAAUAGUUAAAAAACGAAAAUACAAAUUGUUAGGUCUAAUUAAGCUCUCAACUAUAUAUUUAAGGUGUCACUCAACUUGAUAACAUAUAUUAUUAAUAAAUAAUAUANNNNNNNNNNNNNNNNNNNNNNNNNNNNNNNNNNNNNNNNNNNNNNNNNNNNNNNNNNNNNNNNNNNNNNNNNNNNNNNNNNNNNNNNNNNNNNNNNNNNNNNNNNNNNNNNNNNNNNNNNNNNNNNNNNNNNNNNNNNNNNNNNNNNNNNNNNNNNNNNNNNNNNNNNNNNNNNNNNNNNNNNNNNNNNNNNNNNNNNNNNNNNNNNNNNNNNNNNNNNNNNNNNNNNNNNNNNNNNNNNNNNNNNNNNNNNNNNNNNNNNNNNNNNNNNNNNNNNNNNNNNNNNNNNNNNNNNNNNNNNNNNNNNNNNNNNNNNNNNNNNNNNNNNNNNNNNNNNNNNNNNNNNNNNNNNNNNNNNNNNNNNNNNNNNNNNNNNNNNNNNNNNNNNNNNNNNNNNNNNNNNNNNNNNNNNNNNNNNNNNNNNNNNNNNNNNNNNNNNNNNNNNNNNNNNNNNNNNNNNNNNNNNNNNNNNNNNNNNNNNNNNNNNNNNNNNNNNNNNNNNNNNNNNNNNNNNNNNNNNNNNNNNNNNNNNNNNNNNNNNNNNNNNNNNNNNNNNNNNNNNNNNNNNNNNNNNNNNNNNNNNNNNNNNNNNNNNNNNNNNNNNNNNNNNNNNNNNNUAUAUAUAUAUAUAUAUGUAUAUCAUCUCAUAUUACAAAACAUGACUAUAUAUAGGUGUAAUAAUUAUAAGAUAUUAAUAUGUAGGAUAUUUACUAUCACAUUUAAUAUUAACAUAUAAGUUAUAUUAUUUGAAAUAUAUAACUUAUAAAUUCAUCUUAAUACAGAUUUAUAAAUAUAUAUAGCAAAUAUUAAAUUGCUAUGAUUAUGAUUGGUAUACGCACAUAUAAUAAGCUAAUGUAUUUUAAAUAUAUUAUUAAUUAAGCUUACAAUCAUUAUUUUUAAUUUAUAUUAACUAAUAUUAGUACAUCAAGUAUUAUUAUUUUUGUAUACCGUAUAUGGUUAUAUAUUUAUAAAUACCCAUGAUUUCAAUCAUUAAACUAUAAUAUGACAGAAAUCGUAAAGAAUGAUGUACUCAAAGUAAUAUUAGAAUUUUUUUGAUAUGAAUAUAAUCAUUAUAAAACGUAAUGUUAUAUAUAAUUUAUUGUUUAUAUAAGAAAUGACACAAAUUAUAUAUUAUAAUAUUAUAUAUUACAAAGUUUGUAUAACUAAUAACUAAUUGUAAACAAUAUAUUAUAAAAACUAAAGUAAUAACUAAUAAAGUUAUUAACCGUAAUCAUAUAAAUAAAAUUUAGUAUAAAUUAUAGUAUUAAUGACUACAUAUAAAAUAGAUAUAUGUAUAUUAUAAUUAAUAUAAAUAUAUAUAUAACUAUAUAGUUAUAUAUAUGUGUGUGUAAUAAUAUAAUAUAAUAAUAUAUAUAUAAAUAUAUAUUAACUUAUAAAGUUAUAUCAAUUAAAGAAUAUAACUUGUAAUUUCAUAUUAAUAGAAUAAGUUUUUUUUUUGUUAAUAAUACAGGUUUAUAUAUAUAGUCUAACAUAACUAUGAUUCUAAUUUAUAUACAUAGAUAUAAUAAAUGUUAAUAAAUUUUUAAAUAUAUUAAUUUAAUAAGUUCAUUAUAUAUCUAUCUUCUGAAUUUAUAUAUAUUAACUAAUUAAUAUUAUAACAUACAUAAAGUAUUAGUAUUUUUAUAAAUUUUCUUAUUAUAUCUUAUCAAGUGUUUUUUUAAAAACAAAAAAUUUAUUUUGUUAUUUUUAUCAAGUUUUUAAUGUUAUAGAAUUAAUGAAUUUGAAAUUAUUAAUUUAUAAUUUAUGAUUCAAUAAAAUUUUCAAAAAUGUAUAAAAAUUAGCAUAAGAAAACAUAAUUAAACUUUUAAAUAUUAUAAACUUCACAUAUUAAUAUAUUUUCUUUUAUCAAUAUCUAUUUUUAUAAAGGACUAAUAAAAUUUAUAAAAAGUUCAACAUAGUUGAAGUAUAAAAAUUUAAAAAAUCUAUUGCCAAUGGAAUUUUUCAAUGAAAUAUUCUGUUGGAAUUCUAUUGAAAAAUUUUCAUUGGUAAUAUAUUUUUCUAACGAAAAUUUUCGUUGGAAACUUUGGUGGGCUUUCAAAUUUUUUGGGUUCCUCAACAUUCCAAUGAAAAAUUUUUCAUCAAAAAUUCCGUUAGAAAAUUUGGUGGGAGGAAUUUUUGGUUGGCUUCAAAACAUUUUCCAAAAGAUUUCCAACGAAAAUAUUUUGUUGGAAACACGUCGAAAAAAAUAAUUAAAAUUUUUUAUUCAUAUCCGUUGGAAAUAUGUUUAAAAUUUCCAACGAAAUAUUUUCCCUUGCAAAAAACCUAUUUUCUUGUUGUGAGAUAAAUAUAAGAGCUAAAAAUGUAUUAUGCAAAAGUUGUUUCUAAUUGUCCGAAGGUCUUUCAUUUAAUUUAUCGUUUGUGGGAAAUGUACCCAACAUUAGGCAUAUCAUCAUAUUCAGAUUUCUUCUGAACAAAAUGAGCAACGAGUUGCAAAUUUUUCGUAUCUAGCAACCCAUAACUUUAUUCGAAAUUAUUUGAAAAGUUUCUUUUCUUUUUUCCUAACUCAAAAGCCAUCCACCCCGUUACUAUUCUCAUUCAAUGACUCUAUCUUGUUGACUUUUUAUGUCAACAAAGAAAUCACUUGACUUCGGAAAGAGAAACCAAUUUCAACAAAAAAAAAAGUCUAAAUAGGAUUGGCAUAAAACUGAAAACAGUCAUUGCUUACCAAAUUAAGUUUAAAUAAAGAUGUUGGCUUAUAAGCCAACUCUCGCUAGUUGUUGGAUUUCUCAUUCCUUUCCAAAGUAGGAACGAUUGAAUAUUAAUAUAUGCCCAAUUCUUAUUCUACAACCAUUAAUCCAACUCUCACCUUGUUUUCAAUUCAACCAAGAAGAUAUCUCAUUCUUUCAAAAUUUUGAUCCUUUUGCUUUUACUCUUCCAAAACAUCAAACAAUCCUAUCAACAGCUUCGUGACAGUGAUAAUGUCUCAAAGAAUUAUGAGAAAAUUGUGAAAAAUGACCUUCAUACAAAGGUGACUUCAAAAAUGACUGUCUUUAUAAUUUUAACUGUUUUUAGCUAAUUUUUGGUAUGACUUGACAAUAAUACCCUUUAAACAAUUUCAGACAAAUUAAAUGGUUUCAGCUUUCUCUCUCCCGCCAUCUAGAUAAAAAUUUCAAAAUUAAAUCUCGAUUUCUCUCUCUACUCAAAUAUGUCUAUUUCGUCAUCCAAUUCGCAAAUAUGACAUCAAGCUCUUUCUUAUUUUGUUUUAUUUUUUUGAAUGGUGGAUCUUGGGGUUCUUAAGGGCGAUGAAUAGUAAUUUUGCUCUUUGCAGGCAAUGAUUUUGCUCAAGGAGAAAGAACAGCUAAAGCAUGUUUGAUGGAUUUUAUGGUGGUUCAUGGUUUUAUUGUGUUUGAAAUUGGGAUGAUUGUUAAGCAUGUUUGCUAGGGAUUUUGGUUUUUUUAAUGAAUUUUUGAGUUGAAAUUGUUUAGGAAAUAUUUUGUAAAGAGGGUAUAUUUUGUUUUUGUAUAAGGGGAGUGAGCAAGUCCUCCUGAUAGGGAUAUAUUUUCUCUUGCUUUGGAGGGUUAUGGAGUUUUGUAAUAUAUCUUUUAUGAAAUACACAAUUUCAGGGCUUAGCAAAAAAAAAUGUGUUUUAGGUUCUUAAAUUUGUUGGUUUAUUCAUAGAACCCCAAAAUUGAGUUUACUGGUUUUUAGGUAUUGCGUGACUUAAUCACCGUGUGACUAGUUUUGAGUCAUUACGUGAUUGGUUUUAGACAUUACGUGACUAGUUUUUAUACAUUGCAUGACUGAUUUUUAAACAAUGCCUAAGUCACACAAUACCUUACGAACUAGUCACGCAAUGCCUUAUUAACAAGUCACGCAAUACUUAUCAACUUGUCAUGCAAUGCCUUAUUAGAAACUAGUCACGCAAUGUCUUAUAAAAAACUAGUCACGCAAUGCCCAAAGUCAGUCACGUAAUGCCUUAUAAAAAACUAGUCACGUAAUGCCUUAUCAAAAAUUAGUCACAUAAUACCCAAAGUCAAUCACGCAAUACUUAAAAACUAGUCACAUAAUUUCCAAAAAUACCAAAACUACUGAAUUCCAUUUAAUAAGAUCAAUAACUUCAAAUGAUACACUAUAUUCCAUUUAACAACAUAAUUAACAAAUAUGAAUACUCAAAAUGUUCGAAAGUUUUUCUUCAUAUAUAAAAAAUCACUCUAAAAUGUUUAAAAAUGGUCAAAACUCUCACAAGUUUUCUUCAUAUAUCAAAAACUACUUUAAAAUGCUCAAAAUGCUUAAACGUUUUUCUUUCUAGUAAGAAAUACUCCAGAGAUGAAUAGUUUGGUAAGGAAAGCUCAAAAAAUAUGAGUCAGUUUGAGACGCAAACCUAAACAUACUUGACCCGUUAAUAGGUUUCGGGUUGAGGUGCGAAGCCUAGCGAAUGGAUCGGUUUCAUUAAGGAUAAUUUUGUCCAAUUUUUUUUCUCUUGGCUAAAAACAGAUAAAAUUAUAGAGAGGAUUAUUCUUAAAAACGCCUUAUGCCUCAGGCCCAUUUAUGAAAAACACUCAAGAAUUAUCACCAAAUCCACCUCCCUCAAGUCACCCAAUAAAUAUUAUUGUUAUAAUAUCAUUAGGAUUCUUAUAUAUGUAUUAGAUAAAUUUUAUCACUAUUAAUUUAUAAUUGUUAUAGAAAAUAUAAUCAAUAAUAUUUAUUUAAAAUGACUAUUAAAAAAUAAAAUAAAUAAAAGCAUUAUGUUUUUAUUAAUAAUUUUUUAUAAAUAGAUAGAUAGAUUAAUAGUUAUCAAUAUUAACUUCCAAGGUCAACAAAUUAUUAUAAACUUGAGCAUUAACAGGUACUCUUGAAUUUUAUUCAACUUAAUCCAUGUACUCUUUAAUUUUGUUUAAUUUAGUCAUUAUGAUGUGGCACAAAAAUUGUUUGGAUCUACCACUUCAUCAUUGUCAUGUCAACAUGUUAAUGUCACAUCAUCAUUGCCAUGUAAGCAUUUCAAACCCACGUCAUUACCACAUCAGCAUGACGUAAGUAACAAUAAUGACAAGAUUGAACGGCGUUAGGGAAAGGGACUCAAUUGCAUAAAAUUUCAAAAUUGAAGACUAAAUUAACCAGUUUUGGGGUAAAAGGAUUAAAUUGACGAAAACACCAUAAUAUAGAAAACCUAUUGGGUACUUUGAUUAGUUUUCAAUAAAAUAAAUUUAUUUAGAGACAUGAACGGAGAUAUAACGAUUGAAACGUCUCAUAAGGAAUGUCACAUAUUAGAUAUGAUUUUGAGGCAUGAUGCUCCAUACUUGUUAAGUUAAAAAGAGUGAUACCAUAAAAUUUGUGUGGGUAAUGUAAGGAAAUAUCCUAUUAUGAAAGAAGUUUCAUUAUUCUACUUAAUUUGUACUCACUAAUGUGCCUAGUUGGUAAAUAUUGUGGAAUUAUCAUUCUUAUAUGUUUUAGGAAUAUCUCUAUUUUUGAUGCACAUUCAUUCACCUAAAGAUAGUAUUUGCAAAUUAAAAUUAGAGGACAACAUAUAAGAACAUUUGUGCUGGAAUUGAUUAGCUUUAGUAAUUUAUUCAACUAAAUGUGAUAAGUGAGAAAAUUUGUAAUAAAUGACUUUUUUAUUUUUUUAUUUUAUAUGUGAGAGAGUUUUUAAUUGCAUAUCAUGUAUUCAACUUAAAAGUAUUUAUAUGAUGAUGUGCUUAGAGCUAUAUAAAAUAGAGAAUAAAAUGAUUUACAAAUGAAUACAAGAUAUGAAAUAAAUCAUUAAGAAUGCAAUUGAUACCACCACAAUAAUUGAAUAUGUCUAUCAUAAUUGAAUGUGGGAAGAGUGUGGGAUGGGAAGGCCCCUGCCCUUCUACCUUUGGCUUUGCCUUAAUUAUAACUUAGUGUGGAUGUUGUACAUUUGUUACAAGAAUUAUUGUAUGACAAAAACUUCUACCAAAUUUAAUCAAAAUUUCUGAUGAUUAAAUAUUAAAAAAGUUUUAAGAAAAUCACUAUGGUUAUCCUUCUCAUAAAUGUAAACAUAGCAUGUUAUUAAACGAGAUUUAUUUAUUUGUUGUCAAUUUUCAAUUUUAAUUUAAUUUAGUAACUCUUAAGUGCAAUAUUUAUGAGCUUUAACUGAUAAUUUUCGCUUAGCUUCACCCAGUAAAGCAUCAACUAGAUUUUUUUUCCCUUCUUUUCUUGUUAUUUAUUCUAAAUAAAGAAAAGUAUUUUUCUAACUCCAAAGUCGAAGAUGUUGAACCAAUAUCAUUUAAUAUAUAUAUAUAUAUAUAUAUAUAUAUAAAUAUAUACCAUUUACUAUUUUCGUUUCGUAAUGAGUUUGAAGAAUUCCCGAACAAACUAGCCAUCGAAUUGUGAAUUCUUAAUUCACUAAUUAGUCUUCAACUCACACCAAGGCAACCUUAAAAUAUGACAAGGUCCUUCGUUGGUUUUCCGGAUAGCAAUUGCUAUGGUUUUAGUAGGAAGAGAAAAUAAUUUGUUUGAGUAUGCUAUGAAUGUGUUCAUUUUUCCCACAAUAAAACAAAUGAAUUGGAAAAAUUCAGUAAGCUGAUCGCUCUGCUCUGCUGUAGACAGUUUGCACAAAGAAAGUAGUUGAAAAGAUUUCUGUCAAUAUCUCCACUAACAAGCAUGGAUCCAACCAUAGAGUUGAUGAUUACAAAGGUUUUUCUGCAUUGGUUUUGAGACAAAACUGGAAAGGGCAGUGCUAUUGCUUUCCAGUUGCUAUCACCAGCUGCCCUCUCAAAUUUUCCAGCCAUUGUUAGGGACCCCACCUGGGAAGUAAAAGGACAUUUUAUAAUAAGUGGAAAGAUUAAAGAAUACAAAUUAAUCACUUGACAUAACUCUAACAAUCGCACCUGUAAAACGGGAGCAUUAAUAUGCAUUACUCUUUAUUAUUACAUAUGGACAGUAGAUGUUUUCUCAACAGAGUUUACCCUUCUUUUAAAAAAAAAAACAAAAAAGAGGGAAAACUUUAAGAAAACCAAGUAAGAAAUGUUGAUUUUGGUUUUUUCCCCCUUCUUAUCAUAACUAUUUAUUGCGAAAAUAGCAAGUGGGAAUAUUUAUCUUCAUCACGUUUUUCCAUUUGUCUUCCUGAUUUGGGUUUUCUUUCUCAAUUUAAAUAUUGGUAUUUAAUUCUUCGUCUCAAUUUGAUUUACCCUCUAAAAGAAACUAAUCAAAGUCCAUCAAUCAUUUUUGAGAGAGGAAGUAAUCUCUUGUUGCAUAUCAUCUGAUAACGUAUUACAUACAAAAUAGGGAGAAUUCUCAAAGAACAAAAGAAUCGUGAGUUGGCUUGAAGAAGAAAAAGAAUCGAAAGAAUAUUGAUCUAAUUAAUAGCUGUUAAUGUUGCCUCUAAGACAUGUUGCAUUCUGGAGGUAGACCUUGGGGAAAUCUCUGGGCGUCGGUGCAGUAGUUGUAGAUCAUGUAGUUCUUCUGGACCCAUUGUAACCUUUGCUGACUAGUGGAAUCCAGCUCCUGAGAGAGCCACGCAUUGUUGGUUGAGGAAGAAGAUGGAGAAUUUGAUUUACAGGAAGAUGCUCCAUUAGACCAGACACAGGCAUUGGCAUUGAAUUCUCUGUAAGAAGCAGUCAAUGGAGCUUGAGUCCAAUCUGUCUUUACCAGACCACCCCUUGUAGCCCAAUCAUCAGCGUUCCACAGGCUGGAGUAAAUUCUCAUCGGUUGGUUCUUUGGAAAUGGGACACCAAGUGACUCCAUGUUUUUGAACUCUCUAAUGGGUGUGCCAUCCACCGAGAAGCUGGAACAUAGUAUAACAAGAUUUGUCAAUCAAGCAAUUCCUACCAAAGAAUAAAAGAAAAAAAAAAUUGGGGCAAAAUGCAAAUUUUCAAUUUAAGGAACACUCACAUGAUACGUUGGGAAUUCCAGAGGAUGGAAUAGGUGUGGAAAUCUGCAGUUGGGUCAAACCAGAGAUAGAACUGUUGCUCUCUGUUUCCCUUUCCUUGACUGAACACAUUGGUAUGAAGAAUGUAAGGAUCCCCACUAAGGUUCCCCAGAAACUCAAAAUCAAUCUCAUCCCAUGUUGAUCCUUUGGAAGAUAGCUGCAGAUAGAAAUAUACAUCAGCAUUUGUGCCAUCAACAUCUACACGUCCUCGUAAAAAUUGCGGACACCAAGAAUUAAUUAGAGAAUAACUUACAUAGUAGGCAGUGACUGUGCCAGCAGAGUUGCCAUGGACAAGCUUGAGCUGCAUAUCAAUCUCGCCAAAAAGAUAUUCAUCCUUGGACUGGAAACCGGAGCCAGAAGCUUUGUCAAGGGAGAGAGUGAGAACCUCUCCGUUGUUGUCUAUCUUACCACGGCCAUCUCCCCAUGUGAUGUCAAAAUCUUGGUAGAAGUUGCUAGCAGAUGCCGCCAUGAGACAGCCCAUUACGAGAGACAUAAGCAAUAUAUAAUUGAAACUUGAAGUUGAACCCUUUUUUUUUUCUGGUUUGCCUGAGCAGAGAGAAUAUGUUGGAAUUUGAGACGUUAAUAGCUUGAUACUUUGGUGUGUUUGAGAAGAAGGAUAGAGCUUGGUAUUUAUAGUAAAGAAAAAGGUAGAGGAAAAGGCCGCGAAGCUCCGUUCAGCUUGGUUGUGCACAGUUGUAGAGUAGGAAACAUAUUAUAGAAGUAGCUGUCAAGAUUGCACCAACGAACAGGACCCAACCAAAACACAGUUUAUGAUAUCACGCGGUUUACCUCUAUUUGUUUGUUUCAUUUUUGUGUGUGUAAGAGGAAAGUGCAGUCCUUUCGGCUUAUUGGUGCUCAGUUCCUGUCGCCUUGUUAGGCUUUUGGCACUAUUAGCUCCGGCUCACUUCCAGAACCAUGCACACGCAGCAGCACCGCCUUUACUAACCGAACAAUCCAAAAUAUUAAAGGAUUAAAUAUGUAAAAAUCAUUUUUUCCCCAAAAAAAGGGAAAACUUAAAGAAAACCAAAUAAGAAAUCAUGUCAGCACUCAGUUGACUCCAUAAUAGUUCUAUUUUACCCUUAGUAAUAUUAAACAUUUAAUUUUGAUUUAAGAACUCGGAGACAAUCGACUAAGAAAUAAAUGAUAUGUGAGUCAUAACUAUUUAUUGCGUACAUAGCUGGUGGGAAUGCUUAUCUUUAUCACGUUAUUUAAUUUGUCUUCUUGAUUUUGAUUUUCUUUGGACGACUUCUUCUUAUUCUCUUGAACCUCUUCAACAUUCUUUUAUUUUUUGCUUGACUCAAUGUUGUUUCUGUAUUAAAAAAAAAUACCAAAUUUCUUGUCUUGUUCUCUGUUUUUUUAUUCAGUUUUCAUGACAUCAAGCAGUACCUUUCUUUCUUCCUCUUUUUUUCAAUUUUCAUGACAUCAAGCAGCACCUUUCUUUCUUUCUCUUUUCCAAACAUCACUAAUCUUGUCUCUGUAAAAUUAGAUUCUCAUGAUUACUUUUUUUUUAAUUAAGAAAAAAAAUUUAAAUCUUACUCUUUAAACAAAAAAAUAUAAACCAAUCAAUAAGUAAAACACUCAAAUGUGAAUUUUGUAACCAAUAAAAUUUGAAAAAUUGAUUGUUGGUCUAGAGAAGGCAUUCGACCAUUUUAAUGCCCAUCUUGUUGCAAGUCCAUGCUGUUAAGCUCGGCAAAUUUUCAUGAUUGCUUAUAUGUGAAAAAGCUCCUAUUUGUAUGUCGCACAUUCAAGUUAAAUGUGCUUACAAGAGGAUAUGAUUAAAGCUAUAUAAAAUAGAAGAUAAAAUAUCUGACAGACCAAUACAAGACAUGAAAUAAAUCACUAAGAAUGCAAUUGACACUACCACAUUGAAUAUGUCGAUGAUAAAUUAAUGUGGGAAGAGUGUGCGAUGGGAUGGCCCUUGCCCCUCCACCUUUGGCCCUGCCUUAAUAGUAACGCAGCGUGGAUGUACAUUUUGUUUCAAGAAUUAUUGAAUGAUAAAAACUUCUACCAAAAUUAAUCAAAAUUUGUUAUGAUUAAAUAUUAAAAUUUUUUAAGAAAAUCACUAGGGUUAUCCUUCUCAUAAAUGUAAACAUAACUAAUGGAAUAUUUAUUUUUAUCACGUUAUGUUCAUUUGUCUUCCUCACUUUGGUUUUCUUUUCCAAGUCCUUGUUUUCUUUGAAGUGUAAAAUCUGUGUCCCUGUUUUCUGAAGUCCUUGUUCUCUGUCCCAUAUAAAAAUAUUUAAAAUCUCUAAAUAUUGGUAUUUACUUCUUCGUCUCGAUUUGAUACAUAUACCCUCUAAAUGAAACUGAUCCAAGUCCAUCAAUUUGGGGAGAGAAGUAAACUCUUGUUGUUGCAUAUCAUAUGAUAACGUAUUACAUACAAAAUAGGGAGAAUUCUCAAAGAACAAAAGAAUCAUGAGUUGGCCUGAAGAAAAAGAAUUGAAAGAAUAUUCAUCUAAUUAACAGCCGUUAAUGUUGCCUCUAAGACAUGUUGCAUUCUGGAGGUAGACCUUGGGGAAAUCUCUUGGCGUCUGUGCAGUAGUUGUAGAUCAUGUAGUUCUUCUGGACCCAUUGUAGCCUUUGCUGACUAGAGGAAUCCAGCUCCUGAGAGAACCACGCAUUGUUGGUUGAGGCAGAAGAUGGAGAAUUUGAUUUGCAGGAAGAUGCUCCAUUAGACCAAACACAGGCAUUGGCAUUGAAGUUUCUGUAAGAAGCAGUGAAUGGAGCUUGAGUCCAAUCUGUCUUUACCAGACCACCCCUUGUAGCCCAAUCAUCGGCAUUCCACAAGCUGGAGUAAAUUCUCAUCGGUUGGUUCUUUGGAAAUGGGACACCAAGUGACUCCAUGUUUUUGAACUCUCUAAUGGGUGUGCCGUCCGCAGAGAAGCUGGAACACAGCAUAACAAGAUUUUGUCAAUCAAGCAAUUCCUACCAAAGGAAUAAAAGAAAAAAAACUGGGGCAAAAUGCAAAUUUUCAAUUUAAUGAAUACUCACAUGAUACGUUGGGAAUUCCAGAGGAUGGAAUAGGUGUGGAAAUCUGCAGUUGGGUCAAACCAGAGAUAGAACUGUUGCUCUCUGUUUCCCUUUCCUUGACUGAACACAUUGGUAUGAAGAAUGUAAGGAUCCCCACUAAGGUUCCCCAGAAACUCAAAAUCAAUCUCAUCCCAUGUUGAUCCUUUGGAAGAUAGCUGCAGAUAGAAAUAUACAUCAGCAUUUGCGCCAUCAACUUCUACACGUCCUCGUAAAAAUUGCGGACAACAAGAAUUAAUUACAGAAUAACUUACAU
RNAcentral lists this long non-coding RNA (31579 nucleotides) under Theobroma cacao (cacao). RNAcentral describes it as "long non-coding RNA (TCAC_LNC005235)". The record is from RNAcentral. Lineage: Eukaryota; Viridiplantae; Streptophyta; Magnoliopsida; Malvales; Malvaceae.